CGAGCACGCACGCCGCCGCCCAGUGCUCUGCAGUCCGCCGGCGCCGUGCCCCCCUUCCCGGCCAGCCCCCGCCCCGGUCAACGUGUUCCGCGUAGCCUGCUGUACUGCGCUGCCGCUGGCUUCUGCGGUGCGCCGUUCGCCCCUGCUGGCCCCGGCUAGCCGGCCUCCUCCCUCCCCGUGGCGGCGACGACGGCCCCCCUCCGCUGCGCCCCGGCCCCGUACCUCUGCUUCCGCCGGCUGUUUGUGGACUGCUGCUUCCUACUACCGCCGCCGCGGCGCCCCUCCUCUGGCUGAAAGAGGAAUUGGUGUUCCUGGCUCCCAUCCCAGUAUCCCACCAUGCUCUUCAGUCGGAAGCUUCUCCCAUGGGCGCCGUGCCCCAGACAGUCACAAGCCCAGGCUCUGCUCCACCGCCUAUUUUGCGCCUUCUACCCAACCAACCUCGAUGACGAUGACCCCCCGUUCACUCGAAUCCCCGAAAGCCUGCCUCGAUCUCCAACACCGCCGCCACCGAAGCCCAGAGACCAGCCUGCCAAGAUCAGCCCCGACGAGCCGGUGUACUCCGAACUUCCCUUCGACUUCCGGUAUUCGUACUCGGAGACUGACCCAGCUUGGAAACCCAUUGGGUUCCGUGAGCCCACCCGGUUUUCGCCCUUUGGCCCCGGCCGCCUUGACCGGCCUUGGGACGGCGUCGCCGCCACCGCCGCGCGUGCUGAAGGGAACAGAGAAGAUGUUUAUGACGGUGCAAGUUGUAGGGAUGAGGUUCUUGGCGAGGUGCUGUCGGAAGUGGAGGUGGCGGAGCUCGUGGAGAGGUACCGGCACAGCGACUGCUCCCGGCAGAUCAAUUUGGGGAAAGGUGGUGUAACUCAUAAUAUGCUCGACGACAUCCACAACCACUGGAGACGUGCAGAAGCGGUCAGAAUCAAAUGUCUUGGGGUUGCAACUCUUGACAUGGACAAUAUAUGCUUCCAUCUCGAGGAUAAAACAGGUGGGAGAAUCAUAUACCGUAGCAUAAACAUACUCAUCCUAUAUCGUGGCCGGAACUAUGAUCCAAAACAACGGCCUGUCAUACCAUUGAUGUUGUGGAAGCCAUUGGCUCCUAUUUAUCCUAAGGUUGUCCAAAAUGUUGCUGAAGGGUUGACUUUUGAGGAAACAAAAGAAAUGAGAAACAGAGGAUUACAUUCGCCACCUCUUAUGAAACUGACUAGGAAUGGUGUUUAUGUUAAUGUUGUUGAUAAAGUGAGAGAGGCCUUUAAGACUUCGGAAGUUGUAAGACUAGAUUGCUCGCACACCGGUACCAGUGAUUGCAAAAAAAUUGGUGUGAAGCUGAGGGAUUUGGUUCCAUGCAUUCCUAUAUUAUUUAAAGAUGAACAAAUUAUUCUCUGGAGAGGGAAGCGGGACCAGGAGGACUCUGUUUCUGCUCAUUGUAUUUCUCGACCACAGUGAUGCAAGUGCCUGUAAACUACUACAACUCUAUGCUCACAGUAACACCUAGCUGAAGCAGGCCUGCUGCUUGGAUGACUUAGGUGAGUUGCAUGAGGUUUUUCGACGGAAGCGAUAGCCUCUUUAUUAUUAGGUAAAGAUUUUGUCUUCAGAGUGUGUGGACCACACAACUGGAGAGUGAUCUAUUUGGGUGAAGAAAAGGACAAUCUCUAAGGUAUGCAGCAGCAUCUCCUUGCUUGGAAGGGAUUGCUACGGUCAGCAGUUCUUCCAGUUGAGGGAUUCAUCUUCAGUUUUCCGUCCUCUGGGUUUCGCCCUCCGCACUUUUGGAAGUGUCGGCUUGUUUCUAUUGCUUCAGCUGCCUGAUGCAGGAUCGAUGCUCGAGAUUGAGACACUGGAAACAGAGCACAGAUGGUCUGAGCCUCAAAUAAGUUUUCUUUUUCUGAUGUUGUACACACUUUCGGCGGAUGGAUUGACUGAGAUAUAUUCUGGUUAUCCGAGAGAUAUAAGUAGAUUUAAGACA
Hordeum vulgare subsp. vulgare (domesticated barley) is the source of this 1960-nucleotide RNA transcript. It is a transcript of the gene named CRS2-associated factor 2, mitochondrial, with no coding region annotated. The record is from RefSeq and is a predicted model, not a curated record. The transcript has 7 exons. Lineage: Eukaryota; Viridiplantae; Streptophyta; Magnoliopsida; Poales; Poaceae.